AUCGUAUGGUACAUCACAGGUACCUUAUUAGUUUUUAAGUACCUCGUGUACAUAGAUUUAUGACACGAUUACAUCGUAUGGUACAUCACAUGUAACUUAUUAGUUUUUAAGUACCUCAUGUACAUAGAUUUAUGACACGAUUACAUCGUAUGGUACAUCACAUAUAACAUAUUAGUUUUUAAGUACCUCGUGUACAUAGAUUUAUGAAACGCCUACAUCGUAUGGUACAUCACAUUAUCCAGAAAAAAUCAUAGUACAUGACAAGUACACGAAGGUACAUCACAUAUACAUCAAGUUACAGGACAAAUAUAUUAAGGUACAUCUCGAUACCUAAGACCUAAGUACCUCAUCAAUCCUCAAUAUAACAAGGAUCAAACAGAUAGAAAAUAUAACAAGGAUCAAAGAUAGAAAGAAGAACUCGAAUUCAACUUUAAAUUCAACAAAACAAAGUACUUAAGUACCUAUGUACUCGAAUUCUAACAACCAUCAUCACAGGAGACCGAAAACUCCUUUCUAAGUACCUCAUAAAUUACAAUCACAGUACCUCGAUGGGUUACCAAAUCAGCAUCUUCCAUAGCCCGCGAUGAGAUACCGAAAAAAAAAAUACCAAAUCCGCACGGGGGUGGCGGCGGAAGAGCAAGGGCCGGCGGCCGGCGGGGGAGGCAGCGGAGGAGCACGGGCCGGCGGCCGGUGAGGGCUGUGGAGGAGGAGGCCGGGACCUGUAGAUCGCCGCCUCCAAGGAGUAGGCCGCCGUUGUGGGGACGUGUAGGCGGCGGCGAGCGGGGCAGCAGAGACACGGCGUCAGCAGCGAGGAGGAGCAGGACUGCAGGAGGCAGGGACACGGACUAGAGAGAGAAGGGCGAGAGAGAAGCGCUGUGGCAGAGAGAAAAUGACCACGUGAGGAGACAGAGACGAGAUAUAAAAAGAGAGAGAUCACAUGAUGCAGUUAAUUAGACAGAGAGGAUUAAGGAAAGAAAGGG
RNAcentral lists this long non-coding RNA (980 nucleotides) under Brachypodium distachyon (stiff brome). RNAcentral's name for it is "long non-coding RNA (BDIS_LNC001401)". Lineage: Eukaryota; Viridiplantae; Streptophyta; Magnoliopsida; Poales; Poaceae. The record is from RNAcentral.